Molecule: ribosomal RNA, 253 nt
Filed under: uncultured bacterium
Lineage: Bacteria
Description: partial 16S ribosomal RNA
Rfam family: Bacterial small subunit ribosomal RNA
Source: RNAcentral
UACAGAGGGUGCGAGCGUUAAUCGGAAUUACUGGGCGUAAAGCGCGCGUAGGCGGCUUUGCAAGUCGAGUGUGAAAUCCCCAGGCUUAACCUGGGAACUGCAUUCGAGACUGCAUAGCUAGAGUAUGGGAGAGGGAAGUGGAAUUUCAGGUGUAGCGGUGAAAUGCGUAGAUAUCGGGAAGAACACCCGUGGCGAAGGCGGCUCUCUGGGACGGUACUGACGCUGAGACGCGAAAGCGUGGGGAGCGAACAGG